AACACGCUCUUCUCAAAUCUUCU
This 23-nucleotide non-coding RNA is filed under the name Arabidopsis thaliana (thale cress). The record is from RNAcentral. Lineage: Eukaryota; Viridiplantae; Streptophyta; Magnoliopsida; Brassicales; Brassicaceae.